GGAACAUUAGUAUUUAUUAGUAUUAAUAAGAUAGUGUUUUAGAAACAUGACAAUACUGGACACUUGGAUCUUGCUGGAGGUGUUCAAAUUUCACAAACUGUUGAGAUUUCCAGGAGGCCAGAUCAUUAGGCAGAGUUUUCAGUGGCAAAGGGAUAAUUGUUUAUGGGUUUAGAAAUUCCCUCAUCAUUAAAAAGUACAAAAUGAAGUCACUACCUUAGUCAGUACACAGGUUUUGGUUAUCUCUAACAAAGUUAAACUAUCAAUUCUCAGAAUGUGACUUGGCUUUUAAAUGCCAAAUCAUUACCCUCACUGUGUUCAUUAAUUAACUACAUUAUUUUAUAGUAAAUGGUUGGCUAAGUUUUAAGGUUUACUUACAUGAUAUAGUGCUGUGUAUAUUUCUGAUGUGUAUGGGCACAAAUAACUGGAGAUAAGCCCUAGUAGUCUGGUCAGAAAAUCUUAAAAACGAAAUUGCUUGAAUUUCGUGAUGAAACAAAAUAGCAAAUAAAUAUGAGUCACAGUGCAAAUUUCAAAAUCUAUUAGCUGACAUGGUUUUUAAUUUUGUUUUCUUUUUUACUAGAAGAUACAUAUUUUAUGAAGUUACAGUAUGUCUCCAAAUUAUUGCUUGAAGUAGUCAUCCUUGAAAACUUUCUCUAAAUGCUUCAUUAAUGAUAGAUCUACCACCUGUCUCCUCAUCCGAAGUCCUUCCUUCCUGGCAACGCCUGCAAUUAAACACUUCUAGCAAGCUAUUGAAAAUGAACAAACUAUUAUUUUUACUCCAGUGUGAAGAAUCUUGAGGUCCAUUCACAAUUGCUGAAUAAGAAGAAACUGGCAAAUUAGGACUAUACUGUCUGAAUUUAUUCAAUGAGCUCAGUACAGCAUUUUCCAGGUUCUCCUUUAUUUUUCUCCCUAGAAAGCCUGCCUUAUCCUGUAAUUUGAACCAUGCAAUCAUUUGUCUAUGCUUCAUUUCUAUCUACUGAAAGGCUGAGCUAAGUUAUUUUCUACUUUAUGGUCAGUGUUCAAGUAAGUUCUUUUCCGAUUUGAGUCCUAACUCUAUCACUCAUUUUCACUUAGAAGCUAUUUGAAUAAAAAAGUUUUUUGAAAUCUGAGUUGUGGUUUC
RNAcentral lists this long non-coding RNA (1117 nucleotides) under Vulpes vulpes (red fox). RNAcentral describes it as "lncRNA (ENSVVUG00000005899.1)". The record is from RNAcentral. Lineage: Eukaryota; Metazoa; Chordata; Mammalia; Carnivora; Canidae.